GAUCGUUAGUGUUAAGAGUAUAAAGAUAGAGGAAAAAGCGAUCCAGAAAAAGCGACCAUACACGAUGUUUUUGUUGUAGUGUUAAUAUGAGUUGAUGACUAGUUCAAGUAAUCCAGGGCAUUACAGACAAUUUACAGACAAAGCUACAAUUUUACAUUUGUUUUAACAAGACAGCUUCCAGCUUUUCAUAGCUAAAAGUUCACAACUUUUUCUCACAGCUCACAACAGCUUUUUCAAAAUCUGUAGCUCAACCAAACACAACGAAUGUUUGGUUUUUAUCAUUGCUUUUUAUCUCGACUAUGACAACGACAACAACGUCUUGCAAAAAUGACUGCCAUCCUUCUCCUUUAACAUGAGGGCCUUGCCUCUAGGUAGUGUCGAUCAGGAUGUGGGGUUUGUGUCAUGUCGAUCCUGGGUCCUAGUUUUCACGACGGUGGCAAUGGUUCGUCUCAGCCAUAGUCAGGGUGAUGCCCUUGCCAAUGCGAGAAGAUUGUUUUAGGGUCGCGAUAACAUCUACACGUGUAGUAGGAGCAAAAACAGCUCAAAAGUCCAAUGAUCACAGAUUGCAUCACGUCAUCGCAUGCAUACACAAGUGAUGAAACUGAUGAUGUCACGUGGAAUUUUUUGUCUUUUCAGUUUUUAAAAUGGUUUAUCUUUUAAAUAAAAAAUCCUAUUGAAAAACCGUUUUACCAUUAAAUCCAUCGUGAUGAGAUCUUCGAAACUAGAUCUCAUAUCGAUAUGUUUCGAUGAAUUUUUUUUGAAUUAAAAGUUAUCAUGUCCAUUGCACAUAAAUUGUCAUCAUGAUUAUACUGAAGUUGCCAUGAUAUAUUUUAAGUACUUUUUUUCUAUGUUUAAAGUAAACUUUGACAUGUUAUAAAAAAGGAAAUUAACAAACUAAACUUGCCAUGAUGAAUUACUAAGAUUCUCCAUGAUCCAUGAAAUGAUUUUGAUAUGGUUCACAAGUAAAAAAAGAAAUAUGUAGUUAAUUACUUCAAAAAUGCAUGGUCACUAGCCCAAAAUUGCCAUGAACCAUAAACUAAAAUUGCCAUGGUGAAUUACUUAAAUUUGCCAUGAUACAUGCAUUAAAAUUUGUCACGGUUCAUACAAAAAAUAUUUUCCAUGUUCAAUAUACUUAAAUUACCAUGGUCAAAAUAAUAAAAUUGCCAUGAUCUAUAAACUCAAUUUUCCAUGACGAAUUAUCAAAAACAGCCAUGAUCCAUAAAUUAAAUUUUCCAUCGUUAAUUACCAAAAAAUGCCAUGACCAAUUAAUAAAAAUUUCCAUGAAAAGCAGUUGAAAUAUAAUGGUAGAUUUAAAUCUAGAAGAAAAAACUUAAUGAAACAUGGCGUGGCAAUCUUAUUGUAAACACUAUGGCAACUUCAGUAUAAACAUGUGGCAACUUGUGACCUAAAAAAAUGUCGAAACAUAUCAAUAUCAGAUCUAGUUUGAAGACCUCUUCGAGACCGAUUUAAUAGUGAAAACGGAGUUUUAUUUAGAUUUUUUAUUUAAGAGACAAAACAUUUUUAAGUCCAAAAAAUCAAAAAGAUUCUCCUGAUGUCAUAUAUUUGAUAUGGUAAUAUGAAUGGUUAUGGAGACGUGUGAACCAUGUUGGCUUGUGCCACAUAUACGGACGUUAGUAUUUUUGUUGUUUUAAUGUUCCCCCUCGUAUGAUAUGACAGACUCCUUAAGCAUUGGAUUUCAAUAGACCACAAAAGAACGUUACAAAAACCAAUUCUACUAGUCUGGAAGCUUCGAUAAAUAAUGCUAAAUAAUCAUAUAUGGAAAACCACAAUAAAUAUAGUUUAAUCAUACGUUUUAAA
Molecule: long non-coding RNA, 1818 nt
Filed under: Hordeum vulgare
Lineage: Eukaryota; Viridiplantae; Streptophyta; Magnoliopsida; Poales; Poaceae
Description: long non-coding RNA (HVUL_LNC003014)
Source: RNAcentral